GCGAUAAAUAGAGCGCUCUUCAACGAGAUAAACGUCGCCAGCAAACUGACCGCGAACAACGCACGACUGAAUAGCCAACGACGGUUGCCAGCCCAACAACAUAAAACCCCAACACAGUUGAACACUGUCACCAUAGAUUCGAACGCUGAGCAGGUCGAAACGCGGGUUGUUUUCCGGCUCCCGUAAAAGCCGUAACUUUGCGUCGGUGGGACCACUGUACUGAUUAGCCCAUUUCCGUUGGCGUUAAGCCUACAUCAAUAGGCUUUUUCAUUGGUAAAUUUUGGUGAGUUUGGUAAAGAUCCAGCGAGCAUUGCUGUGCCUCAAGAUUCUGCCAAUAGGGCAAUUGGUCAAACCUUCAGAAAGUGGCGUAAUCGAUGGUGUCUGAAAACUCAUGACGAUCGUAGCUCUGUGAUUAAUGGUAAUGGACGUGCGCGAAUAUGUGUGUCUACGGAAUACAUGCAGGAAAUGUAAGAAAAAGAGGCUUGGACAAAUGAAAAAUAUGUAUUAAACUGUGGGUUAGCAGCGACAUUUUGGGAUGCUUCGUAAUUCAUCAGUGGACCUUCAUUUUAGUCGAAUCGGAUACGCCCAAAUAAUUAACUCUAAAUUAAUUUAAACUAUGUGAGCGGUGAUAUUACACUCUAUAAAAGGGGAAUUAACAAGAGUUAACUGUUCAUCUGGUAAGUCAGUGAUAGGGUUCUUUAUGACACAUUUCCAUAAAUUUUCUUUGCUCCUGUGAUACCUUCUUUGGUCCUACUUUGGUCGAAUACUUACCGAAUCCAAAACCUAGCUUUUUCAGCCAAGGCACACUUGUAUAUUCUGAAAACCGCUUUUCUUUAAAACACUUUUUAGCUUUAACUUCUGACAUCCUAAAGCAUCAUUGGUUAAAUGGAUUUUUUGAAAAAUCUACUAUUUUAAAACAACAUCAUAAAAGUAGUCCUAUUGAACCGACCUAAGGAGAACCAAAUGGAAAUAUUUAAUGGUUUUUUGUCCUACUUCUCAAAACCUUUUAUUGCGGCUAAAAGAAAUAUCCUAGAUAAGCCUUGUGGCUAACUUCAUGCAACUUUUUAAUUUUUCCGAUUUUGUUAAUAGAUGAUUUCCUGAAGCGAACAGAGGCAAUGGUAUACUUUUGACAUUUCUGAACCAAAUAAAUUUGCAGUACAAACCGUGUCUACUGGAUCACACGCAAUUUGUAUUUUUUUGGCUGACCAUCAUCCCUAGCUGAGUUCUUUGUUACUAGUGACGAAUGUUCGAUUAUGUGCGCAAGACCGACAUUUUGGCCUGCAUCUAUUCUGCAAAUGCAGCCAACACGAUUCAUAAGACUUUUGACAAAAAGCUUAGGGCUGAAUCUCAGGGACGUAGAUCUGCAAGCGCUUCGGAACGUUCUCUAAAACGAAAAUCUAAUUACUAUUCAUAGCAAUUAGUGGUAUAGUAACUACUAUCUAAUUUUUUUUACAUUUUGCUCAGUUUUUUUUUAAGAACAACAAUAACAUGUUAAAAUCAUCUUAAGAAAAUAUUUUAAUAGAACAGCAUAGAAAAAUUGGAAUAAGGGCUGCUAUAAAUCGACAAGACAGACCCGACCAAGUGGCGUUGAACAGUUGCUACUAAUUAUUGGUCAUUUUGCUAACAUAGGGCUUUUAGAAACCCGAUGAUUCGGAAAUACUAUGCAGGGUUUGCGCAAUAAAAGCCGAUAAGUCUGCGGUGUUUCUAUUGCAGUCGCCGCAGAGCCAAAAUAUCAGCUUGAUUAAUCCACAUGUGGGGCUCUAGGAUUGCAUCAACGUCUCACAUAGUAUUGGAACUGGUAAUUUUGUCUUCUUUUUACCGAAAGCUUUAACGCAUGUUUAUACUUUCAGUGGCCUAAGAUGUACUGUGGCACUUUCUAGGCAUUAAGAUCAGGAUACCGUUAGACAACCAAAGUAGAUCUUUACAUCAACUUGCCGGUUUUGUCGAGCUUCGAAUUUAAUUUAGAGUAUCGUAAUUUGUGACACCAAAAGAAUCAAAAAGAGAUGUUUACUAAACCACAAAUGGACUUUCAGUUUCACACGUGUCUGACCGUUUUCAAACCAUUGAGACAUUUUUUUGUUUUCAAGUGUAAUAUAAUUAGUAAUUUUACCGAUCCGACUGUUACAAGAAGACGUUCGUUCUGGAGAGUUAGAUAGCUCCUAAAUAGAGUUGUCUAGUUAACUACACAUAUUUAUGUAACGUAAUAACGAUUUUCAAAUGAAUUUAUGUUGCUUACGCAAAACCUAAAUUGCUACGAAUUAAUAGGAAGAGCUUACUGAAAUAUCUAAGCGGUGAAUUUCUUCAGAGCCAGUAACGGAUAUGUACUCAGAGCGUCGUCAUGGCUAUUCUUCCUGCUAAUUUCAUGUGUGACUUUCUUACAUAUAAUUUGAUGAGCAAUUGCCCGACCUAAGGAGCAUCAGGUGAGUCACUUUUAAGGAGACCUUUGAAAUCAGAGCGGGUUGCCUUCCCUUUUGUGAAUGCAAUUGCGUCAUUGAGCAGCUAUCUAGUUGUUUUGUUUAUUAUAAUCGGGUUCUUUCUCGAAGAAGAUGAAGGCAAAAAAGAGCAGGAGAAGUGGAUGUCCUAAAGUGGAUGAUGGACCUUGCCUAUGGGGGUCGGACGGAGGCACUCUGCGUUCAUGUUCGGCUCCUGUCAUGAUCGCGAUUUUCGUUAAUCAAGGAAGGUAGGUCAGCGCUAGAAAAAGAGAACGAUAAAAAUGCUGACAAAGCAAGUUAGUUGUUCCCUUCGACAACGUUACCCAAAACCCUGAAUAUGCAGUGACCAUUUAACAACUCUACUGUACACCUCAGGAUCCACACCACUUGCACACUGAUUCAUACGGAUACUCUGUAGCUGCUAAAAUUUCGAAGAAAGCAUUGAAAAUUCGUGUUCGCUUCAAAUUGUCCUCAACUCAACUUUCCAAAAUGAUGACUGUGGACCGGCAUGAGGCUACGGCGAUACUUCUGUUCGAUAUCAUUGACCCUUUCCCGACCGAUUUUGCUUGCAUAGUGAUAAUAUCGCCUAUCUGAUGACGAUGGCGAUCGUAAUGAUGAAAAUGCUGCCGAUUAUCAUAAUAGCAUGACAUUGGUUCGGUAGCCAGUCUUUAGCCUCUGUUUGCGAUGAGUCUCUCUGAUAAAACGGAAGGUCUUGAACAAACAGCAGAAAGAAAGAGGAUUGGGGGCAAAUGAAAGCGCGUCAAGCGACUAAAUGAUGGCAUUCG
This is a long non-coding RNA of Varroa destructor (honeybee mite), 3217 nucleotides long. The record is from RefSeq and is a predicted model, not a curated record. NCBI's taxonomy places the organism in Eukaryota, Metazoa, Arthropoda, Arachnida, Mesostigmata, Varroidae.